GCCGGGGUGGCCCAGCCCGGUAAGGCGGCAGGUUGCUAACCUGCUGGCGCGUUGCGCCUCAGGGGUUCAAAUCCCCUCCCCGGCGCCA
Molecule: transfer RNA, 88 nt
Filed under: Hadesarchaea archaeon
Lineage: Archaea; Methanobacteriati; Hadarchaeota (SeqCode); Hadarchaeia (SeqCode)
Description: tRNA-Ser
Rfam family: tRNA
About the family: Transfer RNA (tRNA) molecules are approximately 80 nucleotides in length. Their secondary structure includes four short double-helical elements and three loops (D, anti-codon, and T loops). Further hydrogen bonds mediate the characteristic L-shaped molecular structure. tRNAs have two regions of fundamental functional importance: the anti-codon, which is responsible for specific mRNA codon recognition, and the 3' end, to which the tRNAs corresponding amino acid is attached (by aminoacyl-tRNA synthetases). tRNAs cope with the degeneracy of the genetic code in two manners: having more than one tRNA (with a specific anti-codon) for a particular amino acid; and 'wobble' base-pairing, i.e. permitting non-standard base-pairing at the 3rd anti-codon position.
Source: RNAcentral